Melospiza melodia melodia is the source of this 427-nucleotide long non-coding RNA. RefSeq lists it as uncharacterized. Lineage: Eukaryota; Metazoa; Chordata; Aves; Passeriformes; Passerellidae. The record is from RefSeq and is a predicted model, not a curated record. The transcript is spliced from 3 exons.
GACUGAAGCCAUGCUGGGAAGGGGUGGUUCAUGCUCCUGCAGCAGGGAAGUAAAGCAGGCUCCCUGAGGAGUUGAAGGUCUUCUGAGGAGGGAGGGUUACAUAGAACCUGCAGAGCACAGAGGAACCAACAGUGCUCCCUAACCCUGGAGAAAGCCCGAGCCCUGCACAGCCAUGGGGGGACCAUGGGAAGCAUCAGACCUGCAGAAGUGAAGAAACUCUGCCCAGGUCCCAGAGCUGAAUUUUGUGCUGUGACUCCUUGCCAGGCCUGUCUGAGAUGAGCCCACCAUGUCUGUGUGUCAUAGCAGUGAACCAAGAGCUUGCUCUGUAAAUUUUUCCUGCCAUCACUUGUGUUUGUGCACCAGAGAUCAGAGCAUCCCCACGGUACAGAGAGAUGCUCACAGCUAAAUAAACAGGCAGGUGCACAGA